GUGAAUUCAUCUCCGGGGGUAGAGCACUGUUUCGGCAAGGGGGUCAUCCCGACUUACCAACCCGAUGCAAACUGCGAAUACCGGAGAAUGUUAUCACGGGAGACACACGGCGGGUGCUAACGUCCGUCGUGAAGAGGGAAACAACCCAGACCGCCAGCUAAGGUCCCAAAGUCAUGGUUAAGUGGGAAACGAUGUGGGAAGGCCCAGACAGCCAGGAUGUUGGCUUAGAAGCAGCCAUCAUUUAAAGAAAGCGUAAUAGCUCACUGGUCGAGUCGGCCUGCGCGGAAGAUGUAACGGGGCUAAACCAUGCACCGAAGCUGCGGCAGCGACGCUGAUGCGUUGUUGGGUAGGGGAGCGUUCUGUAAGCCUGUGAAGGUGUGCUGUGAGGCAUGCUGGAGGUAUCAGAAGUGCGAAUGCUGACAUAAGUAACGAUAAAGCGGGUGAAAAGCCCGCUCGCCGGAAGACCAAGGGUUCCUGUCCAACGUUAAUCGGGGCAGGGUGAGUCGACCCCUAAGGCGAGGCCGAAAGGCGUAGUCGAUGGGAAACAGGUUAAUAUUCCUGUACUUGGUGUUACUGUGAAGGGGGGACGGAGAAGGCUAUGUUGGCCGGGCGACGGUUGUCCCGGUUUAAGCGUGUAGGCUGGUUUUCCAGGCAAAUCCGGAAAACUAAGGCUGAGGCGUGAUGACGAGGCACUACGGUGCUGAAGCAACAAAUGCCCUGCUUCCAGGAAAAGCCUCUAAGCAUCAGGUAACAUCAAAUCGUACCCCAAACCGACACAGGUGGUCAGGUAGAGAAUACCAAGGCGCUUGAGAGAACUCGGGUGAAGGAACUAGGCAAAAUGGUGCCGUAACUUCGGGAGAAGGCACGCUGAUAUGUAGGUGAAGUCCCUCGCGGAUGGAGCUGAAAUCAGUCGAAGAUACCAGCUGGCUGCAACUGUUUAUUAAAAACACAGCACUGUGCAAACACGAAAGUGGACGUAUACGGUGUGACGCCUGCCCGGUGCCGGAAGGUUAAUUGAUGGGGUCAGCGCAAGCGAAGCUCUUGAUCGAAGCCCCGGUAAACGGCGGCCGUAACUAUAACGGUCCUAAGGUAGCGAAAUUCCUUGUCGGGUAAGUUCCGACCUGCACGAAUGGCGUAAUGAUGGCCAGGCUGUCUCCACCCGAGACUCAGUGAAAUUGAACUCGCUGUGAAGAUGCAGUGUACCCGCGGCAAGACGGAAAGACCCCGUGAACCUUUACUAUAGCUUGACACUGAACAUUGAGCCUUGAUGUGUAGGAUAGGUGGGAGGCUUUGAAGUGUGGACGCCAGUCUGCAUGGAGCCGACCUUGAAAUACCACCCUUUAAUGUUUGAUGUUCUAACGUUGACCCGUAAUCCGGGUUGCGGACAGUGUCUGGUGGGUAGUUUGACUGGGGCGGUCUCCUCCUAAAGAGUAACGGAGGAGCACGAAGGUUGGCUAAUCCUGGUCGGACAUCAGGAGGUUAGUGCAAUGGCAUAAGCCAGCUUGACUGCGAGCGUGACGGCGCGAGCAGGUGCGAAAGCAGGUCAUAGUGAUCCGGUGGUUCUGAAUGGAAGGGCCAUCGCUCAACGGAUAAAAGGUACUCCGGGGAUAACAGGCUGAUACCGCCCAAGAGUUCAUAUCGACGGCGGUGUUUGGCACCUCGAUGUCGGCUCAUCACAUCCUGGGGCUGAAGUAGGUCCCAAGGGUAUGGCUGUUCGCCAUUUAAAGUGGUACGCGAGCUGGGUUUAGAACGUCGUGAGACAGUUCGGUCCCUAUCUGCCGUGGGCGCUGGAGAACUGAGGGGGGCUGCUCCUAGUACGAGAGGACCGGAGUGGACGCAUCACUGGUGUUCGGGUUGUCAUGCCAAUGGCACUGCCCGGUAGCUAAAUGCGGAAGAGAUAAGUGCUGAAAGCAUCUAAGCACGAAACUUGCCCCGAGAUGAGUUCUCCCUGACUCCUUGAGAGUCCUGAAGGAACGUUGAAGACGACGACGUUGAUAGGCCGGAUGUGUAAGCGCAGCGAUGCGUUGAGCUAACCGGUACUAAUGAACCGUGAGGCUUAACCUUACAACGCCGAAG
This 2076-nucleotide ribosomal RNA is filed under the name Escherichia coli. RNAcentral's name for it is "partial 23S ribosomal RNA". It matches the Rfam family "Bacterial large subunit ribosomal RNA", at positions 884 to 2925 of the family's 2925-position model. Lineage: Bacteria; Pseudomonadati; Pseudomonadota; Gammaproteobacteria; Enterobacterales; Enterobacteriaceae. The record is from RNAcentral.